UACGGAGGGGGCUAGCGUUGUUCGGAAUUACUGGGCGUAAAGCGCGCGUAGGCGGACCUGCAAGUCGGGGGUGAAAGCCCGAGGCUCAACCUCGGAACUGCCUUCGAUACUGCGGGUCUCGAGUCCGGGAGAGGUGAGUGGAAUUCCUAGUGUAGAGGUGAAAUGCGUAGAUAUUAGGAAGAACACCAGUGGCGAAGGCGGCUCACUGGGCCGGUACUGACGCUGAGGCGCGAAAGCGUGGGGAGCAAACAGG
This 253-nucleotide ribosomal RNA is filed under the name uncultured bacterium. RNAcentral's name for it is "partial 16S ribosomal RNA". It matches the Rfam family "Bacterial small subunit ribosomal RNA", at positions 524 to 776 of the family's 1533-position model. The record is from RNAcentral.